CUCACAGUGAGGGAACUGCCAGAAGGCCCUCGGCUCUGGACCUCAGUGUCCAGGCAGAACGAUGGGGGUGGAGAUGCUCCUUCAGGUACACAGGGCCAAGGCCAUUUAGGGCUUUAAAGGUCAACACCAACACUUUGAAUUGUGCUCGGAAACGGGACAUGGCCUACUCUGGAUGGGGUUAUACUCCUUCUGAGGGUACAGAGAGGGUAUUUCUGGGUCCAUUACCAUCACCAAGAUGGCCCAGAGUGCCUUCCAUCAGCUUUGACUGGUGGCCCAGCUGAGCCCCUCUCUAGACAGGGUUAGCCUAACUUCUGUUGUCUAUGCUCUGGUGACCUUUCGGUUGGAUUGCUGCCAUGCGUUAAAUGUGGGGAUACUUUUGAAGAUGUUUCAGGAAUGUCAGCUGGUAUAGAAAUCGGAAGCCAGUUUGCUAAGCAGGGCAGGACAGUCUGAGUGUAUUAUAACACCAAUUCUGGCAUGACUGCACUGGUUAUAAACUAGUUUCAAAAUGCUAGUCUUGACCUAUAAGGCCUAAUGCCUCAAGGACUGCUUCUCUCCACAUGAACUGACCCAAACCCUGCAAUCUUGAGCUGAGGGCCUUCUCCAUUUGCCUCCUCCAUGAGAGAUAGAGGGUGGCAACAUAAGAACAGGUCUUUUCAAUAACUCCCUGCUUGUGGAAUGCUCUCCUGGCCUUAUUUUUAUCUAUUUUAUGAACUAGGCAAAAUAUUUCCCCUUUGAAGGGUUUCAAGUAUUUGUGGCUGCUUAUAGAAGGGCAGGUUCUUGUAAGUCUUGCCUUUCAUUUGUGAUAGAUUUGGGGGGGGGGGUUAUUGGUUUGUUUGCUGUAAUUGGUUUUAGGGUUUAUAAUAUGUUGUUAGUCACUUUGGGUCAUUUUUGUGAGUAAAGUGACUAAUAUCAAUCAAUAAUAACAACUUGUGGUUUGAUGGUACGCCUGGCCAGGUUGCCGCACCAUUGUUUUCCUGUAGUGAAAACCGUGCUGCAAACACAGCCAUCCAAAUCUAGUCCACUGCAUGAUCUUUCCAAUAAGAGGUUGGCAAGCAGGGCAUCGCCUACCUGUCUGUCCUAAUGGUAGAAAACCAGGCAAUUUAAACUGUCACUGUCUUUAUGCAGACAUCAAAACUAAGAAUGGAUUCAGUUGGUGACUGGUGUAAGUUUCUCAUCAGCAUCUAGCUGAUCAUUAGCAAUGACAAAUCCCUCAAGAAGUCUAGACAUCUCAAGCUUAUCUCAGUUUUGGUUUAUGCUUUCAUGCCUUCUGAGACUAGAGAAUAACAAACCUGGAGCACAGAACUUCCAAUCUGUUAAUGCGCUCUGUUUAUUUCGUACAUUCUUUAUGAAUCGUUGCAGUGUUGAAAUACAGUCAUUUCAGAGGUUAUCAACAGAUGUAUUGGAUUUAAUGAAUCACGCACAUCUUUGUGAAGCCUGAAAAAGAGACCUCCUCCAUAUAACAGCGUAUAAAAAGAAAUAGAAUUUCUGCCAAAAAAAAUAACGCCCUAAGCAAAAUAGACAUGAGUGUGUUUUAAUGGAUGUUUAGCCCUGUACAUGACUCAGAGGGAAAUGUGCUGCAAGGUGACAUUGGAGGUACCUACCAUUAAGGGAUGGAAGAGAAAUUUGAUUUUGCUUGCAUUAUAAUGAGAAAGUACCUAAUGUGCCCUUCUUGAAUCAAUAUGCGAACUGAAACACAUCUAUCCUUUGAAAGGCGAACUCCAAAUUCUGCGUUGCAGUUUUCCAAGCAAGUAAUUUAUAUAAAAAUGCACUUAUUGGGCGAAAGUGCAUACAAAUGCUUAGCAUUUAGUGUGAACCAUGCAAAGUCCAUACUGAAAAUGUCAAAUAGGCCCAUAAAGGUAAGGUCCUGAAAAAGUAAGGCUACAAUCCUAAACACACUUGCUAGAGAGUCAGUGGUAUUCUUCUGAGAACCAGUGCACACUGCUAGAUCUGUACAUCAUCUGAUUUAUUGCAUUUUUAAUAUUUGUUGCUGACCAUCUCAGCUGAUAAAGGAAGUGAGAUUUAAAAGUACAAUUGUAUGGAACUUGGACUGUUACAAACCAAAAUGCAUUUUGAAAUGAAGAUUAAAAUAGUUAUUUCUUUGGGCCACACAAUACAGAACACGAGCUAAUUGCUAUCUCUAAAGGAGUGUCAGCUACCCCAAGAUAAUUUCUUCUUCCAUUGUUAUGAUCUGUAGAAUCAGACAGAAGUGAUUUCUUUAAGAUUAGAAUUCCUUAGGCUCAAGUUAUAGCAGCCAUUUCAAGGGAGAGAGAUUUCUUGGGCAGAAACCCAGAUAAAGAGUUCCUCAGACAUGAGAGAGGUCUUACAUAGGUAUUUUGUUUGGCUUGUAGCUUGUGUACUCUUGUCUUAAUUAGCAAGAAGAGAACGUAGGCAGAGACAUUUCUGCUGGAUAGUGUUUCCUUGGGCUGGACAGGAAUUUUGUAAAUAAACUGGGAAGUGCAGAUACUUUAUUUUCCUUAACAAGGAUAUCCUGUGAACUUUUCUCUCUCUCCAGUCUUCUCCGUCACUGGCUAAAUGCUGCAAGCUGCAUAGCGGACUGUCAGACGUCCCAGAAAGUAGCAUCGUUAAUGGGAGCAAAGGGUCACCAGAAUAUUUGAAGAUUCUAUUUCUGAAUGGUGAGCUCAGCUUUGGAGGGGCUCACUGAAGCAGAUGUGGGUGUGAGUGGUUAAACGGGAAUGCUGGAGCAUCCAGAAAAAACUUUCAUAGUUCCACAGAUUCAAAACCAACUCUAGAGCUACUUUUCCAUUUUGUAGGGAAUCCUUGUUUAUAAAGUUUGAAUCCAGAGACAGAUAUUAAUAUUGUCUGGGGGACAUGGGCAAUAAUAUUGUGUAUGUUUUGCAUGCUUAUAAUUGCCAGCUAGCUAGAAUUUUACAGGCUCAUUCUGGAUUUUACCAUCUUGUUUUCUUGCCAGAACUAGGAUGUACAUUAUUUGAGCUGUUGAACCGCGGUGGAAGUACGCUCACUGUGUUGUAUACAAAUGUACAAUUUCCUGUCCAAGAUUAAGCUAACAGGAGGUCAGUUCUCCCAGUUUACAGCAGAGGCUGGCUAUAUACAGCACAGUUUGGCUGGCACUUGAGUCGUCACUAACUUUUCUAGUCCCUAGUACAAUUUUGCAGCUCUUUUAACAUGGAUUUUCAGUAAUAAAAAAAUAAUAAUGCAAUCAUCAAAAUGUUUAAAUGAAUAGAAGAUUAGUGCUGCACUUAAAACUGCUUUUUUUAAAAGCAGAAAGCUAAACAGUCCAUCUGAAGAUUAUGGGAAGGGGUCUACUUUAUGGGCAGAAUUCAGUGUUGUUUUUGGACGCUAUUUAUGAUGGAGAAAUCCCGGGUAUGUCCGGGAAAUCCUGGGCAUAUGGCAGCCCUAGGAGAUCCACAGUUAAAGCCCAAAUUUUUGUGGUUUUCAGGGUGGAAUAUGUGUAUUCACUUUAAGAUCUGCAGCUGAACCAUAAGAAAAUGUGGAAGGUGGGAAAGCAUCAGCACUCCUUUCUCUUUAGGGGCAACUGACAGAAGCAAUAAAACUCAACAAAAACCAUUGAUGUAACCUAGUAGUUAGCAUAAUGUGUUUCUCUUUUUACUGUUUAUCCCUCAAAUGCAAGCACUGCUCAGCCUAAAUAAAUCUAUCAUAUGCUGAUUUUUUCCCUUUCCUUCUCAUAUCACAACCUCAUCUAUCUCUACAUGUGUCUAUCAUCACCUCUCAAAUUUGGCUCGAAUCUGUAUUUUGGCUCUGCUGAAGCUGUUACUCAAACCACAGCCACUUCCUGACACAACAGUAAUGCCUAUACAUCUGCAGUAUCUAUACAUGAAAGGCCAGUCGUUUUCUGUUUUCUUCAGACAUGCAUUGCGUGCUCAGAAAAAUUAAUCUUAGCGUGCAUCUACAUUUCCCCUGAUACCAGUGUUCAAAUUCUGAUUUUCUUGCCAGUUGGGAUCUUCACAAGAGAGGCUAAUGGAUAGUCCUGAGUAUAUCACUGUUUCAUCUGUGUUUCUGCUUUUAUCUUUCCUAGCUAAUCUUCUAGUAGAGCUUUAUAGUAUUCACAAAAGGGCUUAUUAAUCGUUGGAAAUCGCAACAUGUCUUUGGGGCACCAUCAGUCAAAGAGUGCUUUUCUGAGAUGAGACAGAUCUGUAACUUGAGAUGAUGCAGCAGGACUUUUGCUACUAGUUUUUGGUAGAAUGAGACAAAAUUGAUAUUGCUCUUUAUGGUUGGGUGAAGUUUCACUGAAAAUUAUAUAAACAAUAUAAUGAUUAAUUUAACAUAUUCCUGGUUAUUUAUUGUCUUUUAAAUAUUAACAAUAUAUGAUAUAUUUUGGACAUGCUUUCCUCUUCCAGACAACAAUGUGACACAGUCUUUAGAUGAUAAGACUCGUAGAAGCAUCUGACCUGUUUGAGAGGAAAGUUUCAGAUUUUGUAAAGAGGAUAUGUGAGCAGUAUCCCUCAGAAGUUCAAAAAGGCUUUGACCAUUUAAGCCGAUGAGGCUUCUAUCCAUAAUGAAAAUAAAAAAAGAAGUGAGAACACUAAAUAAAAAUAAGGCAACGAAACCAGAGUGAGUGGUUUAUUGAAUCAGCUAAUCUGAGAGGACAUGUACAUCAUUGUCUAAUCUUGUGCAAUCAGAAUUGACAUAUUUGUUUUAAUAUUUAUGAAUAUUCUUAAAUCUUUAAUAUGACAAAAUCUAUGGGAGGAAUUCAAAGUAGCGCUUUAGCAAUCAUUCAAUCAACUUGCCAGAUGGAACAAACCCUCACUGUUUUGGGGGUUCUACUGACCAUCUGGGCCAAUUUAAUAGUAUUAGUAAUAAUAGUAAUAAUUCUAUACCAUCAAAAAUCACAGGGUGGUUUACAAUAUAACAACACAAAAAUAUAUACAGUGGUGCCCCGCAAGACGAAUGCCUCGCAAGACGGAAAAACCGCUAGACGAAAGGGUUUUCCGUUUUGAAGUUGCUUCGCAGGACGAAUUCCCCUAUGGGCUUGCUCGCAAGACGAAAAUACCUUGCGAGUCUUGAGAUUUUUUCGCUUUUCCCCCCCUUUAUCUAAUCUGCUAAGCCUUUAAUAGCCUUUAAUAGCCUUUUAGCAGCUAAUCCCCUAAGCCUUUAAGCCUUUAAUAGCCGCUAAACAGCUGAUAGCGCUAAUAGCGCUAAUCCGUCAAUGGGCUUGCUUCGCAAGACGAAAAAACCGCUAGACGAAGACUCUUGCGGAACGGAUUAAUUUCGUCUUGCGAGGCACCACUGUACCAUAAUAACAGUAUUGGGAGGUUUUUAACGCUUGUUGUUUUCAUUAUGUUUUUAGAUAUGCUGUAAGCUGCCCAGAGUGGCAGUAUGGUGGGGCUGGUAUAAAUAAAAUAAUAAUAAUAAUAAUAAUAAUAAUAAUAAUAAUAAUUAACAUAAGUUGCAGGUGAGUUGCUGGAUCUAACGAGGAUUCAAUUGAUGGAAUAGCUAGGCAAGUUUAUUGGUCAUGGCCCUUAAGUAUGGGUCGUUAGCCCUGCAUGUAAAAACUUUCUUUUGGUUCUUGGCUAAUAGCUAGGGUGAUGGGAGUGGAAGUCCAGCAACAUCUGGAGAGUUGAACAGAUUAUUCAACCCUGCAUUGUUGUAGAGAAAUUUAGCAGAUAAAGCCUCUGUUUCCCCCUUACUUCAUCUCCUCAUUAUUUCAUGUCCAUGCCAAUAAAAGUCACAUUUAUUUUACUUUAAAAAGUGGAGAAUUUAGGAAAGAGCUAAACUGAAAAUGUAUUUCUGUUUUAUAAUAGUUUCACUCAGGGCUAUUUUUCUAGAAAAACAGGUGCCAGAACUCACCGUGAACGCCUCCCUUUUUGUCUUAUAAUGGCAAUGGCACCCACCUGACAGGUGCCAGAAAUGAGUUCUGGAUACAUCACAUAAAUACUGUUUUUCAGAGUUUACUGGGAGAAGGGCAGUUUCUAAAUUAGUUCAGGUCUACAGUAGAUAUAUUCCCUUAGAUUUAGCAUGAGCAGGCCUCUUGGUGGCAUCUUACUAUAUACAAUACUCAGCUAGUAAAAUAAGGCACCUCCCCCCAUUUUGGUACAUUUGGUACGUUUCUUUACAAAUAUGCAAACAGAUCAUCAUGCAAGUAAAUUCUAAGAGCAGGCAGUAUAACUGUGAAUCCUGCUCAGAUUCUUAUACCACUGCAUUUCAGGGAAGCUUUCGAUGUAGCCAGCUCCAACCCCCAGCUCACUACAUCAAAUUCGCAAACUCUUUUUCUGGAUUUUGAUUAAAACAUAAAUUCAAAUUAUGUUAAAUAUAUGUAUAUGACUGUAUUCGCCCCUCUGAUCACUUUACAAUGUAUCCACCAAGUUGUUACGUGUUCUUGAGUGUUGCAUAACUGGACAGAACAAUCGAGCAGGGAGAGUCCAAGAUGGAGGAACUGCCAAUUCCUAAGUAUUACUGGCUAGGGUGGGAGAUUGUGGGGCACCCCCUCCCUCCCUUGCUGUUGUUUUUUUUAAAAUUCAUUCCCAUUAGUUUCAGUAAGAAGUAAACAAUUAUUGUUAUUGUUUAGUAGUGCCUGACUCUUUGUGACUCCGUGGACCAGAGCAUGCCAGGCACUCCUGUCUUCCACUGCCUCCCGCAGUUUGGUCAAACUCAUGUUAGUAGCUUCAAGAGCACUGUCCAACCGUCUCUUUCGUCCCCUUCUCGUGCCCUCAGUCUUUCCCAACAUCAGGGUCUUUUCCAGGGAGUCUUCUCUUCUCAUGAGGUGGCCAAAGUAUUGGAGCCGCAGCUUCAGGAUCUGUCCUUCCAGUGAGCACUCAGGGCUGAUUUCCUUAAGAAUGGAUAGGUUUGAUCUUCAUGCAGUCCAUGGGACUCUCAAGAAUCUCCUCCAGCACCAUAAUUCAAAAGCACCAAUUCUCCGGCUGUCAGCCUUCUUUAUGGUCCAGCUCUCACUUCCAUACAUCACUACUGGGAAAACCAUAGCUUUAACUAUACGGACCUUUGUCGGCAAGUGAUGUCAACUGUACCAAAGCUUUUCUCUCAUGUUGGCGGGCUUCAGAUACUGCAGAGCCAGGGCCUCUUCUGCUUGACCCACUGUUGGAGUGUCAGUGGAAGAAGGUUUGCAGUGGCCAGAAGACCUCCGCUAACUGUGGACACAGAGAGAGGGGUCUGCAAUAUUGAGUGGCUCCUUAACCACCUUCCCAAAGAGUUCAGGAUUGCUCUGUUAGUCUUCCCUGCUAAAUGAAAUCAUUGCAGGCAAUAUUUGUCAACAAAGAUCUACUGUCAACUAGUACUAAUAAGUGCCAGGCGAAAACAUUCCUUUUCAACCAGGCCUUUGGAUGAUUAAACUAUCUAUGGCCUUUUAAAUACGUCAGGGAGGUAUUGGUUUUUUACUCUUCUGUUAUGUAUUUUGGUUUUUUAUGCUGUAAAGCUUCCUGUGAUCUUCGGAUGCAGUACAGAAAUUUAAUUAUUAAAAACAAUUCUACUGAUGCCUGUUGUCUUUAGGGAAGAUAGUAAAAUCCUCUUCAGCACUCAAAGAGAAACUUAUUCUAUAACUGUCUAUAUUCUGUAACUAUAUAUAACUGUCAUUUCCCUAAUUAUAUGUGGACCCUUAAAACACGUUGCAUUCUUUUGCUAUGAACAAUGCUGGCAUUUAUCAGUGAAUUAAUUAUGCAAGUUGCCGGGUGUUCUAAUCAUUGUGUUUAAUGUUGCUAGGGAGAUCAUCAAGUGAUAUAAAAAUGCUAUGGCCAAAUUUACAGUGCAACCAACUCAGUUUGUUUUUAUAAUGCUUUCUAUAAAAUGUCUAGAGUUGUGAUUGAGGCAUCAAUAUAUUUUAAUCCGUGAAAGGAAAAAAAGCUACAAGAUGAGAUUGAAUAGCUAACAGGAACAGAUUAGUUUAGGAAGAUCACCGCAUUAAAAGCCAUAUUUGCUCAGAAACCUCAGAGCUGCAAGUACAGUUAAUUUUAGAAACUUGUAUUUAUAAAUGCACUUUAUGUUAGUACCAGUCAGACAGAUUAAUUCACCAUACUGAGCUUUCAAUGCUCACAUGGUCGCUUGAGUCAUACCAGUUGCUGGGGAAGAACAGCAGAAGCCUACUGUUUUCAUCUCCUUCUUGUAGGUUUUCCAUAAGAAUGUGGUUUGUCACUGUGGGGAAACAAGAUGCACAGCUGUUCUUACAUUCUUAUGGAACUGUUUGCAUCACACAUCCUUGAUCAGCAGCACACAUGCUUUCUGCUUGUUGUGCACAGUGAUCUGAAUUAGGCUGGUUUUAGGCUGGUGGCAGGUUCUACAUUUUGGUUGGAAGUUUGACUAUAAACCCUUUUGGUGUCGACCAAUGCUGAGGUUCAGGGUAGAGACAGGGACACAGCCUUGUAUAUUAUUAUUAUUAUUAUUAUUAUUAUUAUUAUUACCCCGCCCAUCUGGCUGGGUUUCCCCAGCCACUCUGGGCGGCUUCCAACAAAGAUUAAAAAUACAUUAAAAUGUCGAGCUUUUCACAAAUUAUCUAAAAAGACAACAAAAUCAACUGGACUCCUUGGCAGGUUUUGAAUAAAAAUACACAAAUUUAUUGGUUGAUAACAUGCUAGAUAGAUAAGGUAAUGAUAUGUAUAAUUUUAAAGGGACACGGGUGGUGCUGUGGGUUAAACCACAGAGCCUAGGACUUGCCGAUCAGAAGGUUGGCGGUUUGAAUCCCCGCCAGGGGGUGAGCUCCCGUUGCUUGGUCCCUGCUCCUGCCAACCUAGCAGUUCGAAAGCACAUCAAAGUGCAAGUAGAUAAAUAGGUACCGCUAUAGCGGUAAGGUAAACAGCGUCUCCGUGUGCUGCUCUGGUUCGCCAAAAGCGGCUUAGUCAUGCUGGCCACAUGACCUGGAAGCUGUAUGCCGGCUCCCUCAGCCAAUAAAGCGAGAUGAGCGCCGCAACCCCAGAGUCGGUCACGACUGGACCUAAUGGUCAGGGGUCCCUUUACCUUUACUGUGUAUAAUUUUAUAACAUGCAGAGAAUAAUAAGUGCAGAGAAAUCAGAAAGAGGAGCUGAGGGACAUCCUUGGUGGGAGUGGGGAGGGAGGGAUGGAAGGGGGUGGGGGGAAAAGGGGGGAAAUAAUUAUGUGAUUAUACGGUUUGACAAUUUGUUAUGUUGAAAUUGCUUAAUAAAAACAUUUUUUAAAAAAAUACAUUAAAAUGUCACACAUUAAAAACUUCCCUGAAGUUUUCAGAUGAAGCCUUCAGAUGUCUUAAAUGUCAGGUAGUUGUUUAUCACUUUGACAUAUGAUGGGAUAUACAACCAUCCUGGCAUCCAUGGGCAUCAAGGGAUUCCAUGCAGGUGAGCAAGUGGGCUGGCAGAGAAGGGGCACUGUUCCAGCACUUUGAAUUAGGACCGGAAAGUAAUCAGCAACCCGUGCAGUUGGCCACAAUUGGCAUUAUAUGUUCAAACCAUUGUAUGCUCAAACUGUCUUGCUCUGGUGAGCAUCGCUGGUGGCUGGGAGCAGACAGUUGAAAAUGAUUCUCUGUAGGGAUCCCGUAAUAGGAGAAAAACUUCAGAGAUGUUUUGCUACUUCUGAAAGGAACCCCAGAUAUGUGUUUCUUAAAGAGGUCCAAGUACCCUUUCAUUCCUUCUUUUUAAUGAAAUAGAGGCAGCUUCCAACAGAAGAAAAAAAAAGUAUACAAUUUUCUAUGUAUCUAGUCGGGAAGGAAGGCGAAGGACUGUAUUUAUAACAAUAUGUUGAAUGUGUGAAGAAAAUAAACUGAAAUAUAUACAUAGUAUGUUUUCCCUGGCUUGCAUGCCUACUUUAUCAGCAUUAGUAGAUUCUGAAAAGUUGAUGGUGUCCUUUUUAUGUAGAUUUGGAAGAAGUACAGGCGAUUUUUUUCUUUUACACACACAGGAAGAAUAUUUGUUGUCAUGAAAUGAAAAUAUUAUAUAUAGCUCCUCACCUGUGGUAUAGCUUCUAAUUUAAAGGCUAUUUUUUUGGAAUGCAACUGCGUAACUAAUUUGUAACUCUUUCAAUGUGUUAGGAAUGUAAACUCAGCAGGCUUGUCUGCAAAGAGUGAGGAAGUGUAAGUAGAUUGUUAGGAAUUUGUCUCCAGUUUAUUAUUUCUUUGUUUGUUUGUUCGUUCAUUUGUAUACUGCUUAAUCAUAGCUGUAUCUAAAUGCUAUAUAGGAGAUCCAAUACAAUAAGACUAAAUAUGAAUUAAAACUAUGAAAUUAGGAUUCAAUAAAAAGCCUGUUCACUAAUCAAUGGAAGUUCAACAAGGAGUGGUCCUCAGCUGACCUAAGGUGGAAGGGAUUUCCACCAUAUUGGGCCCACAAUACUGAACCCAUGGCUCCUUGUGAAUACAAGCCAUGCAUCCAAGCCAUGGGGGAUGAUUAACAGUGAAUUUUCCCCAAACCUCAGUGAUCAAGCAGUGGCAUAAGGAAGCAGGCAGUCCCUGAAGUAUCCUAGACCCAAGUUGUUAAUGGCAUUGUAAAUGAAUACAAGAACCUUGAACCCAGCCUGGUAGCAUAUGGACAGCCAGUGCAAGCUUUUGAGCACCAGAACUUUUGAGCACCAGAUGCUGACGCUGUUCUAGCCAUCCUCAUCAGUAGUAUAGCUGUAGUAUUUUGCAGCAGCUGGAGCCACUGGACAGAUGAAGGGUAGCCCCAAAUAGAGUGCACCACAGUAAUGGGGUACUGAGGUUAUCAAUGCAUGAAUCACUGUGACCAGACUAUCCCUGUCCAAGAACGGCUGUAGCUGAUCUACCAGCUGUAUCAGGUGAAGUGCACUCCUAGUCACUGAGGCCAUGUGAGCCACCCAGAAUCAAGAUGGAGCACCCCCAAACUCGAAACCUGUUUCUUCAGAAGGUGUGCAGACCCAUUCAGAGCAGGCAACUGGCCAGUCUUCUUGGCAUGGGAACCACAAACCCACAGUGCCUUUGAUUCUGUCUCAAAAUGGCACCUGAGCCCUGACUGAAGUUGAUCUAGAUACAUAACUGGUAUUCUCCAGGAACUCCCAACAACUGCCCAGUUUUAUUUUGUAUCUGUGAACUAUUCCUUAAAGAUAUCCUUAAAAAUAUCUGUAUCAUCUAAUAUUUUGUUCUGACUACAGUGGUACCUCAGGUUACAUACGCUUCACGUUACUGACUCCGCUUACCCAGAAAUAUUAUCUCAGGUUAAGAACUUUGCUUCAGGGUGAGAACAGAACUUGUGCAGUGGCGGCGCAGCAGCAGCAGGAGGCCCCAUUAGUUAAAGUGGUGCUUCAGGUUAAGAACAGUUUCAGAUUAAGAACAGACCUCCAGAACGAAUUAAGUUUGUAACCCGAGGUACCACUGUAAUAUAAAGUCACAAGACUACUCUCACAUGGAUUAAUUGCAAUGUAAUCAUUUUAUAUUACAGCAUACCUUCUUCAAAGACUGAAAAAACAAGUCUCUUUAUCUAUCCUUGCCAUCUUGAAUUAGAAGUUAUAUUACAUUGUGACACUGAAGGCUAAAUUUUUGUCUUUUAUUUUAUUUUUUAUCUGUGCUAAUUAAUGGCCUAUACAUCUCUCUUUUUGGAAGUAUGUAGUUUGCUUGCUACUGUGUUUUGAACUGAUAAAUCACUAAAGAUAGCCUACAUGUAUCUUUCUGUGUGCUAAACAUUGGAGGGUACUUUCUUCUAAUCUAGUAUAAAACCUUUUGGCACUGUUUUAGAAAGUGUAAAAAUGAUGCAGUACUUGUGGACUGCAGGACAACAAAGAAGAAAGGGGAAAACUUAAUAUUUAUGAAUAUGAUUGAACAUUUAUCUGGACUAACAUAUGUGGCCUGCCAACAUCCAUCUUAACUGAAUGCUUCCAGACUGAUAUCUCCCAAAGGAUCAUCCCUGAGUAUAUCUUUUCCUGUCAUCUUUCCAUUGUGUACCAUAUAUCUGAUUUCUACUCUAUGAUGUUUCAUCUAACUUUCCUCCUUGGUAAUACUUUCCAUAAUGAUGCAGCAAUACAGUUUUUAUGUAUUUUAAAUCCCACUUUAAGGACAGGUGACAGCAAUUAUACACACAACAGGCUGGGUUAGCUAAACUGUAACUUGUGAAUUUUGUGUGGCUUGUAGGUAAUUAAUGUGGGGCUUCUGAGUGAUUAAAGUGAUGAGAAAUGGAUUUGCAGGAGCUCUGUAAUGCACAUGUGAUAGAGGCAUGUCCUUCCUACCCUAUGCUGAAGCCAGUGGUGAAGCUGCAUGCUCCACUACCGGGGGCAGAGAGCAGGCGGGGACGAGGCUGCCCCGGGGAGGCAUGGUACGCCGCCUGUGAGGGUGUGGUACGCCACCCACAGGGGCAUGCCACGUGUUCUGGGGGCGUGACCGCCUGUGGGGGUGCGGCGCCCGGCGCACAGGGGGGUGCGCGGCACAUGUCCAGGAGGGCCGCCAUGAUGGCAUCCUACUGGAAUAGUGGUGCCGGGGGCGGUCUGCUCCCUCUGCACCCCUUUCCUCCGCCAGUGGCUGAAGCCAAAGCAAUCUAGAAGUGAAGGGGAAAGGAUUUAUAGUAGCAGAAUCUGUGAGGAUCUGGAUUACAAACUCAGAUUUUGCAGCAGGUAUUUCAUGAACUAAUAUGUGGGAAUGAACUAAUUUAAGUGGUCUGCAGAAAUCGUAAUCUCUGUUGAAAGCAAGAUGCAAUUAUCUGCCUGAAAGCUGUGGAGAAGGAGAACAUCAAGUGGGGGAGAAGGCAAAACAAGCAGAAGUUAUAGAAGGAAAAGUGAUAGUAGAAGCUCAGGGUCCUGUGCCUCUUGGCAAAUGAAAACAGGUGUAAAAAUAGGCACCGUUGUUUCUUAAGUUUAGGAACUUUAGCAAUCUUUGAAAUAGACAGACCUUUGUCUUCUAGGACUCCUGGUUUAGCAGAUCUGGAAGGAAGUAAUGAGGUGCCUUCAAAAUUCGUAAUGGAUGGUUGGGGGGGGGCAUCUAGAGAAGACUUGCAGGGUAGGGUGAAGGAGGAGAGGAAACAGAAGUCUCAUUCUUAUGUUGUGAAGCUACAAUUGUAGGUCAAUUUCUGCAUGUUGACCAAAAUGGGAAUGUAACCAAAUAUUGUGGAUUUUAGCCACAAGACUUUUUGUAGAAUAGCAGACUGAUUGCCAAUCCGGUCUCCUUCCCUCCCCUGGAUCCUGUGUAGGUGGCCAGCAUGAUGUUGUUCAGAUGAGAAGCUUACAGAGCAAAACAUCAGUGAUUCAUGAGAUGCACAGGAUAUAAACAGAACCAGAAGAAGAGAAUGCUGCUUUGAUCAUCUCAAGUGGAUGCUUCAAAAGCAUUGCUGAAGCCAACAAACUCAGUAUAUGGGGCAAGAUUCUACAGCAGCCAGAGGUGCCAACUUCUAAAAAAAGAUUGUGGGUGCCUGACACGAUGGACUGAUGUCACACGCUCAACGUUGUGAGGAGCCAGGGGGUGGAGCUGAAUGUGGUCCCAGUGGUCAGUGGCCCCCAUCUUCCCCCUAUGCCGCACAAGAGAAAGACGGGGAAAACUGCCCCUGGCCAGUGGUGGUGACAGCGGCAGGAGGAACCACUGGCCACUGAAGCCACACCAUGCCUGGCUCCACAUUUGCCCUCCUCCACCCUCUGAACAGUGGUGGGGCCCAGCCCCCUCAAGAAAACAUUGGGGGGAGGCAAAGUGCUUAUGACAGCAACUUCUUCAUGCACUUGUCUGUGUGCAAAUGAACCAAUUUAAGGUGGUUUGGUGGAUUUACUAAGAUUAGUUGGUUUAAACGCAAGUGCAGUGGUUUAAGUGGUUUGUGCUUGUCACUUGAGAGGCAAUUUGCUUUGAAGUGGAUGGCAUCCACUGAUGCCAACAUAUUAAUAACUGCAACACAAAGUGCAAUCAAUGUUUCCAAUUAAUGAGACUUGGCAGCUUUUCCUAUUUGCAGUGAUUCAAACCAUGAUGCUUGAUAAGUUUUAAUCUUUUCAAUAUUGCAAUUUAAAUAAAAG
This 13836-nucleotide long non-coding RNA is filed under the name Podarcis lilfordi (Lilford's wall lizard). The record is from RNAcentral. Lineage: Eukaryota; Metazoa; Chordata; Lepidosauria; Squamata; Lacertidae.